This is a long non-coding RNA of Dermacentor silvarum, 3107 nucleotides long. RefSeq lists it as uncharacterized. The record is from RefSeq and is a predicted model, not a curated record. NCBI's taxonomy places the organism in Eukaryota, Metazoa, Arthropoda, Arachnida, Ixodida, Ixodidae. The transcript has 5 exons.
ACCUUCACGUGCAUGCACACUAAUCAGUAUCGUGGUGCUGCAAAGGUGGGCCCACUCCGGGACUCAGCAGGGUCGGAAUUUGUCCCACUUGAUAAUGGACGAGCACUUCUAUUAGGUGCACCUUGCAUUGGCCCCUGAGGUGAACUGGAACGUUGUCCACGUGUCUGCUAAUGAUAGCAGAAAUUGCUCAGUUCUAUCCAGCCUUUCUUCCCUGAGUUCAGUGCCGACUGGCCAUUAGAGUAUUUCACAUACAUUUAUUACCUUCACGUGCAUGCACACUAAUCAGUAUCGUGGUGCCGCAAAGGUGGGCCCACUCCGGGACUCAGCAGGGUCGGAAUUUGUCCCACUUGAUAAUGGACGAGCACUUCUAUUAGGUGCACCUUGCAUUGGCCCCUGAGGUGAACUGGAACGUUGUCCACGUGUCUGCUAAUGAUAGCAGAAAUUGCUCAGUUCUAUCCAGCCUUUCUUCCCUGAGUUCAGUGCCGACUGGCCAUUAGAGUAUUUCACAUACAUUUAUUACCUUCACGUGCAUGCACACUAAUCAGUAUCGUGGUGCCGCAAAGGUGGGCCCACUCCGGGACUCAGCAGGGUCGGAAUUUGUCCCACUUGAUAAUGGACGAGCACUUCUAUUAGGUGCACCUUGCAUUGGCCCCUGAGGUGAACUGGAACGUUGUCCACGUGUCUGCUAAUGAUAGCAGAAAUUGCUCAGUUCUAUCCAGCCUUUCUUCCCUGAGUUCAGUGCCGACUGGCCAUUAGAGUAUUUCACAUACAUUUAUUACCUUCACGUGCAUGCACACUAAUCAGUAUCGUGGUGCCGCAAAGGUGGGCCCACUCCGGGACUCAGCAGGGUCGGAAUUUGUCCCACUUGAUAAUGGACGAGCACUUCUAUUAGGUGCACCUUGCAUUGGCCCCUGAGGUGAACUGGAACGUUGUCCAUGUGUCUGCUAAUGAUAGCAGAAAUUGCUCAGUUCUAUCCAGCCUUUCUUCCCUGAGUUCAGUGCCGACUGUCCGUUAGAGUAUUUCACAUACAUUUAUUACCUUCACGUGCAUGCACACUAAUCAGUAUCGUGGUGCCGCAAAGGUGGGCCCACUCCGGGACUCAGCAGGGUCGGAAUUUGUCCCACUUGAUAAUGGACGAGCACUUCUAUUAGGUGCACCUUGCAUUGGCCCCUGAGGUGAACUGGAACGUUGUCCAUGUGUCUGCUAAUGAUAGCAGAAAUUGCUCAGUUCUAUCCAGCCUUUCUUCCCUGAGUUCAGUGCCGACUGGCCAUUAGAAUGUCCGUGCCAGAUUUUCUCUUUUGUUGUCUCUUUGUGUGUUAGUGCGUGUGUUAGUGGAGACGGCUUGGGGUGUUGGUGUUUAGAAAUAAGAAGAAAGGGAAGGCUGUGAAGAUUGAGGGGGGUCGAGAGGUAAAAUGCUUGAAAGAGGUGUGGACGAUCGUGUGUGUGUUGUGUCGUCAUGUGGAAUUUCAAGAUCAGUGUCUGCAUUGCUGGCAAAAUGGCAGAGUUGCAUCGAAGCAAACAGCUCUGACGGUCCAUCUUCAGUGUCCCUCAGCACUUCAUCCAGUGAAGUUGGACUAUCGUCCACGUUUCUUGUGGUUCUAAGUGAAAUAAGAGAAGUGCAUUAUUAAAUCAUUCCUUUGCUGUCACAGAGCCAAGGAGGGGAAAAAAAUAUUCCAUAACAUCAACAUAAAUAUGUUUUUGCUAUAGGAGAAGGGAGAGUUGAGAAUUUCAAAUAGUCAAUUUUAGUGAAUAUAAAUUGCAGUACAGUCGCUACAGCCAGAACAAUGCAAAUAUCCAGACAUAUGAUGCAGAAGCUUCAAGUGCCUGUUUGCUUGCUUGCCAAAUUGACCAGGAAUUGUCAGCUAUUCCUGCAGUGUCUGCUUUCGAUUCUUAUUUUCUGCUGCCUGAUGGGCUGGUUUCUCUAUAGAUCACCUGUAUCUUGGUUCCUCUAGUCCUCUGUCAGUUCUAAUCUCGCUAGUCGCUAACCCUGCUAAUGGCCGUCUUCUCAAGUUCUAAUCCCCAGGAGAUACUUCAUCGUGACGUUUAUGCCAUUCGCGCUGUCAUUGGCUGUCGCUUUCCGGCGAUACAGCCGCCGGACGACGAAAAACUGGCCGGUCAGAUGCAGCUCUCUGGUGCGAUGAAAACAGCCGGAUGUGACGUCAUUUCGGCGUGCCGCACGCCGGAUCGGACGCAAAAUCGGACCGUGUGUCUCCUGCUUUAGGCUCUGGGACCAAUAAGUACAUAGGCCUUUUAGUGCCAGGCUGGCUGCAACAGCGGCCAACCAGCCACAGGCUUCAAUAUAUCAAGAGACGCUUAUAGACAAUGUCCAGCUCGCCAGGAUUUUUUUUUUAUAGUUCAAGCCAACGCUUUGACUUGAGCACAUCUUGUAUUUUCUUCGACAGCAGGCGACCCGUGCUCUGUACUGUAGUUUCGACGCUGAUUUGCUUCUCAGCACCCCAGUGCUUCAGCAUGGCUGUGAAAAGAGCAGAAGUAGAAACAUUAAAAAGCCCCAUUGGCAGCUGUCACAGCACAAAUCAGCAGAAGCUUGAAUAGAAGCUACAGUUAAGUGCAUGUGAAUUGAACUGCUGGCACUGCUUGUGGGAGCCAUCGAUACAACUUAGCAACAGUUAGAUGUUUCCUAAAUAUCUGUUUAUCAACCCACCUGUAACAACAGCCACCUUCUCUGGCGUCAAUGGCUCUUUUGUCACUUCACCUAGGCAUUUUUUUCGCGGCGCCACCGCACCUGUGACGCUGUUCUUGGACAAAACAUCCUUCCCCCACGCAACUUCAGCUGUGUCUUUUACCACAAGUGUGGGUUUCCUGUCUUUCAAGAUCUUGUAUGCUGCCUCGGCCCUCACGAUGACUCCCUUGGCAAGGUGGAACUGUGAGAAAAAAUAAGCAAUAUAUUGCUUACAACUUCAUAAAGAGGCAGCAGACCAAACGGAAAGUGCACGAAAAUUGAAAAUAAAAAGGCAUCACCUUUCUGCCUAAGGUCAAAGAUCUACCUAGCUGAAAUUGUGGUAAUGGCUUACGGAGUAAUAUGGAUAUACUCGCAAUGCCAUCGUCCAAGUAGGUGAAGUCAGCAGCUGCUGUCGCAUUGCUGCCGA